UUGACCUUACAAAUUGUUUUAGAGACCUAAGUAAACAUAACACUCAUCUAAAGGGAUUUCGUGAAUGAUCUAUUGGCAGUAUCCAAGAUGUUAAGAGAUCCCUAUUUCCAAAUUAUCCUAGAACCAAAAAAUAUCACAGCACUUCAACCCCUGGUGUUACAGAUGAGAAAACCAAGGUGGAAAGCGGCAUCCUGCAUUCUCUUCUUGUCCUUGGCCUCAUCUCUGCUAUGGGCUGUGCCACCUCUAUAUGCUCUUUCUCACCACCAGGCCUUCA
RNAcentral lists this long non-coding RNA (274 nucleotides) under Homo sapiens (human). RNAcentral's name for it is "HSALNT0385169". Lineage: Eukaryota; Metazoa; Chordata; Mammalia; Primates; Hominidae. The record is from RNAcentral.